AUUGAACGCUGGCGGAAUGCUUUACACAUGCAAGUCGAACGGUAGAGGGGGGCAACCCCUUGAGAGUGGCGAACGGGUGAGUAAUAUAUCGGAACGUGCCCAGUCGUGGGGAUAACGUAGCGAAAGUUACGCUAAUACCGCAUACGAUCUAAGGAUGAAAGCGGGGGAUCGCAAGACCUCGCGCGAUUGGAGCGGCCGAUAUCAGAUUAGGUAGUUGGUGAGGUAAAGGCUCACCAAGCCAACGAUCUGUAGCUGGUCUGAGAGGACGACCAGCCACACUGGAACUGAGACACGGUCCAGACUCCUACGGGAGGCAGCAGUGGGGAAUUUUUGGGACAAUGGACGCAAGUCUGAUCCAGCCAUUCCGCGUGCAGGAUGAAGGCCCUCGGGUUGUAAACUGCUUUUGUACGGAACGAAAAGGUUUCUAUUAAUACUAGGAGCUCAUGACGGUACCGUAAGAAUAAGCACCGGCUAACUACUGCCAGCAGCCGCGGUAAAGUGACUAC
Molecule: ribosomal RNA, 506 nt
Filed under: uncultured bacterium
Lineage: Bacteria
Description: bacterial SSU rRNA
Rfam family: Bacterial small subunit ribosomal RNA
Source: RNAcentral